Pelobates cultripes (western spadefoot toad) is the source of this 212-nucleotide non-coding RNA. The record is from the annotation of a GenBank genome assembly. Lineage: Eukaryota; Metazoa; Chordata; Amphibia; Anura; Pelobatidae.
CUCUGUGGGCACGCGGCCAUAGGUCGCCGGAGGGAGGGAGGGUGCGCUCCGCCGGCGCAUCCAUAAGGCGGCACAAGUGGCCGCCUUAGGGCGCACCGGCCCGGCGGGCGCAAAGCCGGAGUGACCGGCAGGAGGUGAGCGCAUAGCGCAGAGCGCUCCCUCCUGCCAGGCACUCUGUGUAGCGUGGCCGAGCGCACCGCGGUACAGGAACU